CCAAUAGCGUAUAUUAAAGUUGUUGCAGUUAAAAAGCUCGUAGUUGAAUUUCGGAAUCCAUCCGUCGGUCGGGCCUCACGGUCCGCACUGGUGUGAUGGAUUUCUACCUUCUGAAUAACCAGCAUGUCAUUAAUUUGGUGCGUUGGGGAAGCAGGACUGUUACCUUGAAAAAAUUAGAGUGCUUAAAGCAGGCUAGUGCCUGAAUACAUUAGCAUGGAAUAAUGAAAUAGGACGGCAUGGUUCUAUUUUGUUGGUUUCUAGGAUCACCGUAAUGAUUAAUAGGGAUAGUUGGGGGCAUUAGUAUUCAAUUGUCAGAGGUGAAAUUCUUGGAUUUAUUGAAGACUAACUUCUGCGAAAGCAUUUGCCAAGGAUGUUUUCAUUAAUCAAGAACGAAAGUUAGGGGAUCGAAGACGAUCAGAUACCGUCGUAGUCUUAACCAUAAACUAUGCCGACUAGGGAUCGGACGAUGUUAAUUUUUUAAUGACUCGUUCGGCGCCUUACG
This 502-nucleotide ribosomal RNA is filed under the name uncultured Glomeromycotina. RNAcentral describes it as "partial small subunit ribosomal RNA". It matches the Rfam family "Eukaryotic small subunit ribosomal RNA", at positions 591 to 1092 of the family's 1831-position model. Lineage: Eukaryota; Fungi; Glomeromycota. The record is from RNAcentral.